RNAcentral lists this ribosomal RNA (253 nucleotides) under uncultured bacterium. Its description in RNAcentral is "partial 16S ribosomal RNA". It matches the Rfam family "Bacterial small subunit ribosomal RNA", at positions 524 to 776 of the family's 1533-position model. The record is from RNAcentral.
GACGUAGGGCGCGAGCGUUGUCCGGAUUUAUUGGGCGUAAAGAGCUCGUAGGCGGUUUGUCGCGUCGAAUGUGAAAUCCCGGGGCUCAACCCCGGGCCUGCAUUCGAUACGGGCAGACUAGAGUUCGGUAGGGGAGUCUGGAAUUCCUGGUGUAGCGGUGAAAUGCGCAGAUAUCAGGAGGAACACCGGUGGCGAAGGCGGGACUCUGGGCCGAUACUGACGCUGAGGAGCGAAAGCGUGGGGAGCAAACAGG